Molecule: ribosomal RNA, 253 nt
Filed under: uncultured bacterium
Lineage: Bacteria
Description: partial 16S ribosomal RNA
Rfam family: Bacterial small subunit ribosomal RNA
Source: RNAcentral
UACGUAGGGUGCAAGCGUUAAUCGGAAUUACUGGGCGUAAAGCGUGCGCAGGCGGUUUUGUAAGACAGGCGUGAAAUCCCCGGGCUCAACCUGGGAAUUGCGCUUGUGACUGCAAGGCUGGAGUGCGGCAGAGGGGGAUGGAAUUCCGCGUGUAGCAGUGAAAUGCGUAGAUAUGCGGAGGAACACCGAUGGCGAAGGCAAUCCCCUGGGCCUGCACUGACGCUCAUGCACGAAAGCGUGGGUAGCGAACAGG